Molecule: long non-coding RNA, 1251 nt
Organism: Bos taurus (domestic cattle)
Lineage: Eukaryota; Metazoa; Chordata; Mammalia; Artiodactyla; Bovidae
Source: Ensembl
CCUCAACAUUCUUUAUUAGCGUUGUUAUCAUCAAAAACAAACAUUCAUUGAGGACCAGCUAUCGCAAGCAAGACUGGAUUCCGAGGAUUCAGAUAAGGACAUGAGGGGCCAGUUUACCUCUCUAGUCGGAUCUGCGGAGAUGCCCUUGAGGAUGUGCCUGUGUGGCAGGGAAGGCUGGAGAGAUGAGGAGAUGCACACACAGGGCUCUGUGGGGGCCUGAAACCAGAGAGAGCUGCGCUGAGAUGCUCAGCAUCCCUGGAGAUGAGGCUGUGCCCUAAAUAUACCCUUAGGAGAAUUACAGAGGGAACCAGUAUGUGCAAGUUUGCACCUUCCCUCCAGAGUGAAGGCUGGAAACUGGAGACCACAAGCCAGACUUGGUUGUAGAGGGAGACAUCUUGGUUAGCACGGUGCCGUGAGCAACUUGAAUGUCACUCCAGUCUGUCGUCAGCCCAUGUUUGUCAGAGUCUGGCUCAGUGGGCCCCACUCAGGCCCACUCACAGCCUGGAUCCUAGAGCCUGUGACCUUGCUUGGGAACCAGGAACACAGGCUGCUGAGGGCCAGAUGCCAUCCCCCGAGGCACCCUGGGAACAGAUGAUGCAAAGGAACCCAAGUCCUGAAGGCGCCACCUGGGGACAGAAGAUGGGAGACGGUUCUCCCCCACCAUACACACCCUGGUGCUGUGUAACCCGGGAUUAGGACAUUCAGCAAGGACAGCUUGUGUUCUCCACCAGCCAGGAAGAUCUGGAGCCAGGAGCCAGCAAGUAAUUAACCACUUCAAUCAAGUAACUUUUCUUUGCCCACUUGAGUUGGUGAGAGAAAAAAAUUAGAAGGCAAAAUUAAUAAUUUAUCAAGUUAUCUUAUUCCUCAUGCCGAAUGUCACCCAUCCAUUCAAAUGUCUAUCUUUUGUGGUCAUCUUCACCAUUAUUCACAGUCUUUGCUUUUAAUGAAUGAACUCAUUGAUCCAUCUGUUCUUUCAUCCAUUCAUUAAAACCAAGCACUUACUACCUGCCUGUGAUGAGGACUUGGGAUAAAAACAAGCAAACCACCAAAAAAUAAAAAUAAAAAAUGAGAAAGCACCCCAGCCUUGGUUGAAUCCACAGCCAGGGGGAGGAGAAAGUAUGAUCCUCAGAAACAGACUCAUCUCAUCCAUAGGUAGACACAUCCUAAAUCAUGACCAUUCUGCUUCUUCAUUUAGAAGUUACUUAUUUAUUAGCAUCUCAAUGUGAUGGGAGCGAACUGGGCUUCCCUGGU